GGGGCUGUGGCGCAGAGGGAGCGCGAUUCCUUCGCAAGGAAUAGGCCGGGGGUUCGAAUCCCCCCAGCUCCA
Molecule: transfer RNA, 72 nt
Filed under: Dethiosulfovibrio salsuginis
Lineage: Bacteria; Thermotogati; Synergistota; Synergistia; Synergistales; Dethiosulfovibrionaceae
Description: tRNA_Ala_CGC
Rfam family: tRNA
About the family: Transfer RNA (tRNA) molecules are approximately 80 nucleotides in length.
Source: RNAcentral